AGGGAUGAGUGGAUAACGUAUUUCUAUAAAAAAAAAUUUGUAUUUUUAUGUUAGUUCAUGCACAUAAUUUAAACUAUUCACACGUAAAAAAAAAAAAAUCUAAACAUGUUUUAGUUCAUUAACCUUCAAGUAGUCUAAUUUAUGAUUUAUGAACUUAAUUUAUAGUCCUUUAGAGUUGAUUUGUUGAAAUUGUUUUUAUUAUAACCAGUAGGGGUCUCCUUUGAGCCUAAAUAAAGUUACUGAUCACGUGGAGUGAAACAGUCUUUAUAAAACAGAGCAUUGAGUUUGUGUUCGUUUAAAGUGGUUCAUUCUACACAUCCUGUUCAGACCUCACACACACUGCUGUUCAUUCAUGUCAUUCCUCCAGCACUGAAGCAUCAACAUGAUAUUUAUAGUGUGCUUCAUUUAUUUAGCAGCACCUCCAUUCUGGGUCUCAGGAGAAUCACUAAGUGAUCAAGUUCAUCAGAAUCCACCUCAUCUGAUAACAAAUGCUGAAAAAACAGUUCAGCUCAGCUGUUCUCACACCAUUAAUGGAUAUAGAAUGAUAUUAUGGUAUCAGCAGCUGAAGGGUGAUAGUGCUCUAAAUCUUAUUGGAAAUGUGUAUUACAAAGAUCCAACCACUGAAAACCAAUAUAAAAAUCAGUUUACCAUCGGAGGAAAUGGUGCAGAAUCCUCUACUCUUAAUGUAACAUUAGAAAGAGAACAUGUUGGGAGUACUGCAGUAUAUUACUGUGCUGCCAGUAGAGCACAGUGUGGAAGAUCCUUUAAUCACUCUUACAAAAACCUUCGGUUAAACCCUGUCACCACAACAUUAUUAGCACCUGAAUGCAAAAAUUACUGUUUUUGCUCUGUUCAGGACAAUGCAACCUGUUAAUGGAAACCGACAUGCAUUAAUUUCUGCUUUUCUUAGAUUUUAACAAAAUAACCCACUCUUCAAUCAGGUUUUUUUUUUUUUUUUUUUGAAGGAGGGACUAAUCUAUUCCAGCAUUAUGUCCAUUCCACUAGAUGUCCUCACAUGCAACUAUAGCUGCUGAAGUUUUAUUACAUCACUUAUAACAAACAAAAAAUGUUUGGUUUGCUAAUUUUGCUCUUUCUUCUUCCAUUAGGUAAACAAAAAUAACUUACUUAAAUUGAUCUUUUCAGAGUCAUUGACACAAACUAUUUUUGAUUAAAAUUCCUUCCUUCUGUUCUCAUCUUCUUUUACAGAUUUGGGAUUAGAGCAAUCACCUCAUCUCUUUGUAACUGAGGAUCUCAAUGUGACCCUAAAGUGUUCGCAGAUUGGAACAUCACAUAACAGCAUGUACUGGUUCAGAAAAACACCCACUGAACGAUUGGAGCAGAUAGUGCAUUUCUAUAUUAAAACAGAAAACUGGGAGAAGGAUUUUAAGCAGAGAGCAUCAGCUGUGAGGAACGGGGCAUCUUUAGACCUGACUCUUGCCAAAGUACAGCACUCUGACAGUGGUGUUUAUUACUGUGCAAAGCAGGAUGCACAUCAGUGUAACCCAAUCUAUAGCCUCAACAAAAACAUGCAGAUUCACAUCUAACACCUGUUCAUCUGAAGUCACUGAAUGAAAUUCUACAUUACAUAGGGAUGAGUGGUUAAUGUAUUUCUAUACAUUUAUUUUGCAUUAUUAUGCUAGUUUACACACAUCAUUUAAACUUUUCC
Molecule: long non-coding RNA, 1666 nt
Organism: Cyprinus carpio carpio
Lineage: Eukaryota; Metazoa; Chordata; Actinopteri; Cypriniformes; Cyprinidae
Source: Ensembl